ACUUUAUUCAGCAGAAUAUAAGAUAAAAUUGGAAUGAUACAGAGAAGAUUAGUAUGGCCCCUACACAAGAAUGACAUUCAAAUUCAUGAAGCAUUUUAUAUUUUU
This 105-nucleotide small nuclear RNA is filed under the name Sciurus vulgaris (Eurasian red squirrel). The record is from RNAcentral. Lineage: Eukaryota; Metazoa; Chordata; Mammalia; Rodentia; Sciuridae.